AAACUUUCAACAACGGAUCUCUUGGUUCUGGCAUCGAUGAAGAACGCAGCGAAAUGCGAUAAGUAGUGUGAAUUGCAGAAUUCAGUGAAUCAUCGAAUCUUUGAACGCACAUUGCGCCCUUUGGUAUUCC
This 130-nucleotide ribosomal RNA is filed under the name Lophiostoma sp. RNAcentral describes it as "5.8S ribosomal RNA". It matches the Rfam family "5.8S ribosomal RNA", at positions 1 to 129 of the family's 154-position model. From Rfam's summary of the family: 5.8S ribosomal RNA (5.8S rRNA) is a component of the large subunit of the eukaryotic ribosome. It is transcribed by RNA polymerase I as part of the 45S precursor that also contains 18S and 28S rRNA. The record is from RNAcentral. Lineage: Eukaryota; Fungi; Ascomycota; Dothideomycetes; Pleosporales; Lophiostomataceae.